Molecule: ribosomal RNA, 789 nt
Filed under: uncultured bacterium
Lineage: Bacteria
Description: bacterial SSU rRNA
Rfam family: Bacterial small subunit ribosomal RNA
Source: RNAcentral
AGAGUUUGAUCCUGGCUCAGAUUGAACGCUGGCGGCAUGCCUUACACAUGCAAGUCGAACGGUAACAGGUCUUCGGAUGCUGACGAGUGGCGAACGGGUGAGUAAUACAUCGGAACGUGCCCGAUCGUGGGGGAUAACGAGGCGAAAGCUUUGCUAAUACCGCAUACGAUCUACGGAUGAAAGCGGGGGAUCUUCGGACCUCGCGCGGACGGAGCGGCCGAUGGCAGAUUAGGUAGUUGGUGGGAUAAAAGCUUACCAAGCCGACGAUCUGUAGCUGGUCUGAGAGGAUGAUCAGCCACACUGGGACUGAGACACGGCCCAGACUCCUACGGGAGGCAGCAGUGGGGAAUUUUGGACAAUGGGCGAAAGCCUGAUCCAGCCAUGCCGCGUGCAGGAUGAAGGCCUUCGGGUUGUAAACUGCUUUUGUACGGAACGAAAAGCCUCUUUCUAAUAAAGAGGGGUCAUGACGGUACCGUAAGAAUAAGCACCGGCUAACUACGUGCCAGCAGCCGCGGUAAUACGUAGGGUGCAAGCGUUAAUCGGAAUUACUGGGCGUAAAGCGUGCGCAGGCGGUUUUGUAAGACAGAGGUGAAAUCCCCGGGCUCAACCUGGGAACUGCCUUUGUGACUGCAAGGCUGGAGUGCGGCAGAGGGGGAUGGAACUCCGCGUGUAGCAGUGAAAUGCGUAGAUAUGCGGAGGAACACCGAUGGCGAAGGCAAUCCCCUGGGCCUGCACUGACGCUCAUGCACGAAAGCGUGGGGAGCAAACAGGAUUAGAUACCCCGGUAGU